Molecule: long non-coding RNA, 887 nt
Organism: Bubalus bubalis (water buffalo)
Lineage: Eukaryota; Metazoa; Chordata; Mammalia; Artiodactyla; Bovidae
Exons: 3
Source: RefSeq, a predicted model, not a curated record
UCGGUUGCCAUUGCCUUCUCCAACAGAACUAUGAGGAAACAAAUUUCUGUUGCUAAGCCACCCAGUCUUUGGUAUUUUGUUUUGGCCCUCCUAGCAAACUAACACGCCAUGUCAAGAUGAUGAAACCCAAAGCUUGAUUAUAAUGUUCUCCCUCUUUUUUUUAAUUGAAAAAAAUCUCUCUAAAUUUAUUUAAAUAAUUCCAUCUUUUGAGCUCUUCAUGAACAUUAAGAUCAACUGGCUGGCAAAUUCCUAAUACAGCCAUUGAAAUGCUGAAAGAUAGCAGCUUUUUAUUUAGACUUAAGACUUAUUUAGACUUAAGCUUUUUGUUUAGACUUAAGAAAACUGGUCCUCCAUAGAUUAAAAUAUUUUAUAUUAAUUUGAUAGUAUAUGCUAUGAUAUUAAACCCUGAUCAUUUGUUUUUCUCUUUGUGUGUGUGGGGGUGGUUUCUCAAGUUUCUCCAAGACAAGGCACCAAAUGGACUGCCCACAUGUCACACAACAGAAAACAUGUUGAAAGGCCAGCCACUGGAUUCUGCUGAUUCUGAAUUUUCCACAGAUUGUCAUUUCUGUUGACCCUUCACUGGAUGUCUUCAUUUCCCUUCUCCGUGAGGAAAAUCAUCACUGAAGCCAGGAUCAGAAAGCACCAGUCCUCUCGUUGCACAUCUGGGCUGCAAUUUUCCAGAUUAAGCUGUAGUUCAUCUAUAUCGAAAAGUUUGCCAACCCCUAGAUAAGAACAUGGAAAGAGACUCUUCCGUUGCCCAGUUGUGCAAAAACUUCCAAAUAUGAACGUGGAGCAGGAACACCUCUGCGGCACAUCAGUAAGUACUAUAAGUAGGGAAACCACUGGAGGAAUUUGACGCUUAUGAUGCAUAUGAGCGUAAUGGUAGG